This 501-nucleotide ribosomal RNA is filed under the name uncultured bacterium. RNAcentral's name for it is "partial 16S ribosomal RNA". It matches the Rfam family "Bacterial small subunit ribosomal RNA", at positions 29 to 523 of the family's 1533-position model. The record is from RNAcentral.
AUUGAACGCUGGCGGCAUGCCUUACACAUGCAAGUCGAACGGCAGCACGGGUGCUUGCACCUGGUGGCGAGUGGCGAACGGGUGAGUAAUACAUCGGAACGUACCUUAUCGUGGGGGAUAACGCAGCGAAAGCUGUGCUAAUACCGCAUACGCCCUGAGGGGGAAAGCGGGGGAUCGAAAGACCUCGCGCGAUUAGAGCGGCCGAUGCCUGAUUAGCUUGUUGGUGGGGUAAAAGCCCACCAAGGCGACGAUCAGUAGCUGGUCUGAGAGGACGAUCAGCCACACUGGGACUGAGAACCGGCCCAGACUCCUACGGGAGGCAGCAGUGGGGAAUUUUGGACAAUGGGGGCAACCCUGAUCCAGCAAUGCCGCGUGAGUGAAGAAGGCCUUCGGGUUGUAAAGCUCUUUUGUCAGGGAAGAAACACCGGCUCUAACACAGUCCGGGAAUGACGGUACCUGAAGAAUAAGCACCGGCUAACUACGUGCCAGCAGCCGCAGUAA